RNAcentral lists this ribosomal RNA (688 nucleotides) under Buttiauxella sp. 110518_136_C_B10. RNAcentral's name for it is "bacterial SSU rRNA". It matches the Rfam family "Bacterial small subunit ribosomal RNA", at positions 69 to 750 of the family's 1533-position model. The record is from RNAcentral. Lineage: Bacteria; Pseudomonadati; Pseudomonadota; Gammaproteobacteria; Enterobacterales; Enterobacteriaceae.
CACAGGAGAGCUUGCUCUCUGGGUGACGAGCGGCGGACGGGUGAGUAAUGUCUGGGAAACUGCCCGAUGGAGGGGGAUAACUACUGGAAACGGUAGCUAAUACCGCAUAACGUCUUCGGACCAAAGAGGGGGACCUUCGGGCCUCUUGCCAUCGGAUGUGCCCAGAUGGGAUUAGCUAGUAGGUGGGGUAAUGGCUCACCUAGGCGACGAUCCCUAGCUGGUCUGAGAGGAUGACCAGCCACACUGGAACUGAGACACGGUCCAGACUCCUACGGGAGGCAGCAGUGGGGAAUAUUGCACAAUGGGCGCAAGCCUGAUGCAGCCAUGCCGCGUGUAUGAAGAAGGCCUUCGGGUUGUAAAGUACUUUCAGCGAGGAGGAAGGCGUUGCGGUUAAUAACCGCAGCGAUUGACGUUACUCGCAGAAGAAGCACCGGCUAACUCCGUGCCAGCAGCCGCGGUAAUACGGAGGGUGCAAGCGUUAAUCGGAAUUACUGGGCGUAAAGCGCACGCAGGCGGUCUGUCAAGUCGGAUGUGAAAUCCCCGGGCUCAACCUGGGAACUGCAUUCGAAACUGGCAGGCUAGAGUCUUGUAGAGGGGGGUAGAAUUCCAGGUGUAGCGGUGAAAUGCGUAGAGAUCUGGAGGAAUACCGGUGGCGAAGGCGGCCCCCUGGACAAAGACUGACGCUCAG